CCGCCGGUCACUUUGGCCACCCGGAGCUGGGACAGCUCGUUCUUCAGGUCAUCCAGCUGUUUGAGCAGCUCCUCCUUCUUCUUGCCCCGCAAAUCUCUUGCCUUGAUCUUGGCCUGAAGUCGGACGGAGAAAAGACGUCUGAAUUCCAGUCAAA
This is a long non-coding RNA of Xiphophorus couchianus (Monterrey platyfish), 154 nucleotides long. RefSeq lists it as uncharacterized. The transcript is spliced from 3 exons. Lineage: Eukaryota; Metazoa; Chordata; Actinopteri; Cyprinodontiformes; Poeciliidae. The record is from RefSeq and is a predicted model, not a curated record.